UGCUGAAUAGCCUCAGUGAUCGUGUCUGGUGUAAGCGGAACAUCUGGCUAUGACCUUGCUGCAACUCUCAGUUGUAUGGAAAAUACGAAAUCUUUGGAAGAGGAAUAUGAAAGAAACAUAUUUUUCUCUUCAAAAUGGAGAUGCUAUUUAUCACAUGUUCCCAAUUUUUACCUCUUCAUACUGACGUGUAUAUAACAAUCUUCUAAUUAAUAUCUUUGUGGCAUUUAUCACGGUGACUUUUAUGUAGCUGCUUGGGUUUCAGACAUUGUGGUUUUGCUGUACUGAUUUCAUUCUUUGAUUGUUUUUAUUACCCUGGCUUUUGCUUGUUCCAAGCAGGAAGCUGAAGCAAUGCGCAUGGUUGGGUUUGCAGAGCGUGAAACAGAAGCACAGCAUAAAAUCUGUGCUGCCAUUAGAAUUUGAGUUUGGGUCAAAUGUUGAAGGGAUGUGACAGAAUGUGUGGAACGUUUGUAUUCUGGAGACACAAUGGAAUACUUACAAGAGGUCGCAGCAUGUUCUCUAAUCUGAGAAUCACACAAAAAUGGUCAACAUUUUGACUCAUGCACAAAUAUGGAGGUGUAGGUUGUAGGGGGGUUGUAUAUUGGUUCUUAAUUUUGUUCUAAAUGACAGAUUGUUUUGAAUAGUUCAUCACCGGAUGACCAGAAGUUAGUCCAA
RNAcentral lists this long non-coding RNA (672 nucleotides) under Chrysolophus pictus (golden pheasant). RNAcentral describes it as "lncRNA (ENSCPIG00010005120.1)". Lineage: Eukaryota; Metazoa; Chordata; Aves; Galliformes; Phasianidae. The record is from RNAcentral.